Molecule: unclassified non-coding RNA, 417 nt
Filed under: Hevea brasiliensis (rubber tree)
Lineage: Eukaryota; Viridiplantae; Streptophyta; Magnoliopsida; Malpighiales; Euphorbiaceae
Source: RNAcentral
UGAGGCCUUGACUAAUCCUCACAUGUAUUUAUGCAUGUCCAUAUCCACAUUAUUCACUUACUGACCCAUUUCAUCAAGAGGGUCAUCAUGUUCUUUUGGAUGCAACACAAAUAUAAGGUUAGCAAUGCUUAGAUUAUGUCUGGAGGUUGUGUCCUUUUCUUUUUUGUUCAUCUCAGUCUGCCCUCUAUUUAGGUCACUUCUGGGCGAUAUCAGAUCACGUGACCUCCUUUUGUAGGGUAGCAAAUUAACGCUGUAACAGUGCAAUGAGUGUCAGCUUGUUUUUGUUGUUGUUUUUUUUAAUUAUAAUAAUUAGCAGUUAAUCACUAGUUAAAGCAGAAGUGCCCUGCCUCAACAGCGCUAGUCCUUCCAAACAGAGUCCUUAGAACAGUAGAAAUUUUGGGAAUUAUGAAUGGGAAA